This 429-nucleotide ribosomal RNA is filed under the name Gemmatimonadota bacterium. RNAcentral describes it as "Gemmatimonadetes bacterium partial 16S ribosomal RNA". It matches the Rfam family "Bacterial small subunit ribosomal RNA", at positions 355 to 776 of the family's 1533-position model. Lineage: Bacteria; Pseudomonadati; Gemmatimonadota. The record is from RNAcentral.
UAGGGAAUCUUCGGCAAUGGACGAAAGUCUGACCGAGCAACGCCGCGUGAGUGAAGAAGGUUUUCGGAUCGUAAAACUCUGUUGUUAGAGAAGAACAAGGACGUUAGUAACUGAACGUCCCCUGACGGUAUCUAACCAGAAAGCCACGGCUAACUACGUGCCAGCAGCCGCGGUAAUACGUAGGUGGCAAGCGUUGUCCGGAUUUAUUGGGCGUAAAGCGAGCGCAGGCGGUUUCUUAAGUCUGAUGUGAAAGCCCCCGGCUCAACCGGGGAGGGUCAUUGGAAACUGGGAGACUUGAGUGAAGAAGAGGAGAGUGGAAUUCCAUGUGGAGCGGUGAAAUGCGUAGAUAUAUGGAGGAACACCAGUGGCGAAGGCGGCUCUCUGGUCUGUAACUGACGCUGAGGCUCGAAAGCGUGGGGAGCAAACAGG